CCUACGGGGGGCAGCAGUGGGGGAUAUUGCACAAUGGGCGAAAGCCUGACGCAGCGACGCCGCGUGAGGGAUGAAGGUCUUCGGAUCGUAAACCUCUGUCAGCAGGGAAGAACGGUCACUGUGCUAAUCAGCAGUGAAUUGACGGUACCUGCAAAGGAAGCACCGGCUAACUCCGUGCCAGCAGCCGCGGUAAUACGGAGGGUGCGAGCGUUAAUCGGAAUUACUGGGCGUAAAGCGCUCGUAGGCGGUAUGUCAAGUCAAGGGUGAAAUCCCCGCGCCCAACGUGGGAACUGCCUUUGAAACUGGUUUUCGAGAGUUGGAGAGAAGUAUGCGGAAUUCGUGGUGUAGCGGUGAAAUGCAGAGAUAUCACGAAGAACGCCGAUUGCGAAGGCAGCAUACCGGCUCCAUACUGACGCUGAGGCACGAAAGCGUGGGGAUCGAACAGGAUUAGAUACCCCUGUAGUC
Molecule: ribosomal RNA, 465 nt
Filed under: uncultured bacterium
Lineage: Bacteria
Description: partial 16S ribosomal RNA
Rfam family: Bacterial small subunit ribosomal RNA
Source: RNAcentral